GACGAACGCUGGCGGCGUGCUUAACACAUGCAAGUCGAACGGAAAGGCCCUGCUUUUGUGGGGUGCUCGAGUGGCGAACGGGUGAGUAACACGUGAGUAACCUGCCCUUGACUUUGGGGUAACUUCAGGAAACUGGGGCUAAUACCGCAUAGGAGCUCCUGCUGCAUGGUGGGGGUUGGAAAGUUUCGGCGGUUGGGGAUGUGCUCGCGGCUUAUCAGCUUGUUGGUGGGGUAGUGGCUUACCAAGCGUUUGACGGGUAGCCGGCCUGAGAGGGGGGCCAGCGAAAGUGGGACUGAGGUAGGGCCCAGGCGCGAACGGGCGGCAGAGGGGGGAAGUAUGGCAGAGUGGCGGGAAGCGAGAGACGGAAGCGCCGGGUGCGGAAAGACGGCUUGGGGGGUAAAAACAGCUGUGUAAGGAAAUAAACAGGGAGUGACGGUAAUGGAUAAAAAAGCCCCGGCUAACUACGUG
This 468-nucleotide ribosomal RNA is filed under the name uncultured bacterium. RNAcentral describes it as "partial 16S ribosomal RNA". It matches the Rfam family "Bacterial small subunit ribosomal RNA", at positions 28 to 507 of the family's 1533-position model. The record is from RNAcentral.